This 1355-nucleotide ribosomal RNA is filed under the name uncultured bacterium. RNAcentral describes it as "16S ribosomal RNA". It matches the Rfam family "Bacterial small subunit ribosomal RNA", at positions 28 to 1386 of the family's 1533-position model. The record is from RNAcentral.
GAUGAACGCUGGCGGCGUGCUUAACACAUGCAAGUCGAACGAAGCAAUCUAACGGAAGUUUUCGGAUGGAAGCUAGAUUGACUGAGUGGCGGACGGGUGAGUAACGCGUGGGUAACCUGCCUCACACUGGGGGACAACAGUUAGAAAUGACUGCUAAUACCGCAUAAGCGCACAGGACCGCAUGGUCCGGUGUGAAAAACUCCGGUGGUGUGAGAUGGACCCGCGUUUGAUUAGCUAGUUGGUGGGGUAACGGCCUACCAAGGCGACGAUCAAUAGCCGACCUGAGAGGGUGACCGGCCACAUUGGGACUGAGACACGGCCCAAACUCCUACGGGAGGCAGCAGUGGGGAAUAUUGCACAAUGGGGGAAACCCUGAUGCAGCGACGCCGCGUGAGUGAAGAAGUAUUUCGGUAUGUAAAGCUCUAUCAGCAGGGAAGAAAAUGACGGUACCUGACUAAGAAGCCCCGGCUAACUACGUGCCAGCAGCCGCGGUAAUACGUAGGGGGCAAGCGUUAUCCGGAUUUACUGGGUGUAAAGGGAGCGUAGACGGUAAAGCAAGUCUGAAGUGAAAGCCCGGGGCUCAACCCCGGGACUGCUUUGGAAACUGUUUAACUAGAGUGCUGAGAGGUAAGCGGAAUUCCUAGUGUAGCGGUGAAAUGCGUAGAUAUUAGGAGGAACACCAGUGGCGAAGGCGGCUUACUGGACAGUAACUGACGUUGAGGCUCGAAAGCGUGGGGAGCAAACAGGAUUAGAUACCCUGGUAGUCCACGCCGUAAACCUACAAAAAUGGGUGUUGGGGGACAAAGUCCUCCGGUGCGGUCCCAAACGCAAUAAGUAUUCCACCUGGGGAGUACGUUCGCAAGAAUGAAACUCAAAGAAAUGACGGGGACCCGCACAAGCGGUGGAGCAUGUGGUGUAAUUCGAAGCAACGCGAAGAACCUUACCAAAUCUUGACAUCCCUCUGACCGGCGAGUAAUGUCGCCUCUCCUUCGGGACAGAGGAGACAGGUGGUGCAUGGUUGUCGUCAGCUCGUGUCGUGAGAUGUUGGGUUAAGUCCCGCAACGAGCGCAACCCUUAUCCUAAGUAGCCAGCAGUUCGGCUGGGCACUCUUGGGAGACUGCCAGGGAUAACCUGGAGGAAGGUGGGGAUGACGUCAAAUCAUCAUGCCCCCUAUGAUUUGGGCUACACACGUGCUACAAUGGCGUAAACAAAGAGAAGCGAGACCGCGAGGUGGAGCAAAUCUCAAAAAUAACGUCUCAGUUCGGACUGCAGGCUGCAACUCGCCUGCACGAAGCUGGAAUCGCUAGUAAUCGCGAAUCAGAAUGUCGCGGUGAAUACAAUCCCGGGUCUUGCAC